CGUUUAGGCGGCUCGACGGGAGGGCGCAAGCCCUGCCGGUUUCACGCAAGUGGUUUCCCGGUCUUCCAACCCGUCGAGCUGCCGCCCUC
This 89-nucleotide non-coding RNA is filed under the name Variovorax sp. Sphag1AA. Lineage: Bacteria; Pseudomonadati; Pseudomonadota; Betaproteobacteria; Burkholderiales; Comamonadaceae. The record is from RNAcentral.